Non-coding RNA from Acanthoscelides obtectus, 82 nucleotides. NCBI's taxonomy places the organism in Eukaryota, Metazoa, Arthropoda, Insecta, Coleoptera, Chrysomelidae. The record is from the annotation of a GenBank genome assembly.
GGCCGCGUGGGUCAGAGGUCAGAAUAUCGUGUUACUGAUCAGCCGGCCGGCCGGGCCGCGAGUUCGAAUCUCGCCUUCGCCA